This 492-nucleotide ribosomal RNA is filed under the name uncultured bacterium. RNAcentral's name for it is "partial 16S ribosomal RNA". It matches the Rfam family "Bacterial small subunit ribosomal RNA", at positions 29 to 507 of the family's 1533-position model. The record is from RNAcentral.
AGUGAACGCUGGCGGUAGGCCUAACACAUGCAAGUCGAACGGCAGCACAGUAAGAGCUUGCUCUUACGGGUGGCGAGUGGCGGACGGGUGAGGCAUACAUCGGAAUCUACUUUUUCGUGGGGGAUAACGUAGGGAAACUUACGCUAAUACCGCAUACGUCCUACGGGUGAAAGCAGGGGAUCUUCGGACCUUGCGCGAUUGAAUGAGCCGAUGUCGGAUUAGCUAGUUGGCGGGGUAAAGGCCCACCAAGGCGACGAUCCGUAGCUGGUCUGAGAGGAUGAUCAGCCACACUGGAACUGAGACACGGUCCAGACUCCUACGGGAGGCAGCAGUGGGGAAUAUUGGACAAUGGGCGCAAGCCUGAUCCAGCCAUACCGCGUGGGUGAAGAAGGCCUUCGGGUUGUAAAGCCCUUUUGUUGGGAAAGAAAAGCAGCAGGUUAAUACCCCGCUGUUCUGACGGUACCCAAAGAAUAAGCACCGGCUAACUUCGUG